AACAUAUACUUAAUGCCUGAUAGUUGAAUAUAGGUUGCAAUACUGUAAAUAUAGACAAUACUGUAAAUAUAGACAAUACAAUUUCCAAAAGGAACUUCUAUUACAGCUUAAAGUGUACCACUUUUACUAUGAAUUUUCUUAAAAUAAUCACAUAUAUGUAGUCUUCUUAAUUGAUAGGUAAACUCUGAAGUCGGCCUACAAAGCUUGUGCUAAUAAAUAUACUCCAAACAAUGUUUAUAUAAUUAAAAUGAGAGAUCGAGAAACAGGAAUUAGCCAACC
Molecule: long non-coding RNA, 279 nt
Filed under: Mytilus galloprovincialis (Mediterranean mussel)
Lineage: Eukaryota; Metazoa; Mollusca; Bivalvia; Mytilida; Mytilidae
Source: RNAcentral